GGCAGGUUAGGUCACCUCCCAGCCAACCUGGUGAGUCAGCAGCCCUCACCAGCGGCCUCUGCCUUGCAGUCUCUGGUUCUCACCACCCCCCACCCCGCGGGCUCUGCUUGUUCUGAUUUCAUGCUGUCCUUAAUGCUUUGCUUCUGUAGCUCUGCCAUUGUUAUCCUUGGCACACACUGGUGUAUUGUUACCCAAGGCCCUGGGUCAGACACUGUGAGAAGACACUUGGAAUGAGACACCACAGCGCCACACAGAGCAGGUGGAAUUUGGAAAGAAGCCAGCUGCUAAUCACGGUAAGACAAACUUUCACUGUAGCCUCUAUUUUAUGGCUCCCAUUUGUUUACCUGCUCGUUUCUAUAGGUUAGAGAGGAAAGAGCUUUGAUCCUACGCCAAUGCUAAUACUGCCAUUUUCCCGCAGCAUUCAGGAAAGGAAGCCUGGUGAGCAGCACAGGUCAAAAAUGGGCCCUGGCUUCAGUUUUGGAGAGAAACCAGAGACUCCUCCCCCAUGCACUUUGACACCUGCAGUUCAUAUCUGGACAGGACUGGCUUAGGGUACUGUUCAUCUCUCAUGUGUUGGUCUUGCCUCCCGUUGAGAUGGACAGCAGCUCAUAGACAAUCUUAAAGCUGUGGAUGCUGGGGCUUCAUGUUGAGUUACUCAAUCAACACUAUGGGUGAUGAUCAUCAGGAGGAAAUGAAAAUAAAACAAGGAGGAUGACCUAUCUAGCAUCACCUAGAACAGCAGCCCUGUCAAGCUCCUCAGGACCCCAAGCCUGGGAAGCUCUUAACUCACCUCCACAGAAUGUGUGAAGAAUGAGAAGCACUAAUAAGCAACUCAAUAAGGACAAGAAUUUACUGGAGAUGGAGGAUAUAAUCUGUCGACUCCACAUGAGUCCUAUAAAAGGUCAGCCAACAUCACCAAAGAUUCAAAAAGUUGUAAAGACUGAAAAAUACUGCCCAGGAACAAAGACAAUUAACCUCAUCCCUGUAACCUUGAGAACUAACACUGGCCUCAGUUUCCUCAUCUGGACAAUGUGGCUACUGAACUGGGGAAAGUCCUCCCAAAUUUAACAUUCAACAUCUGCUCCAAGUAUCAUGAGACAAUUAUGUAUGUCAGUUUCACUUUGGCAGUUGACAUGCCAUGAACCCAGGUUGCAUUAAGUCAAAUCAGGGUUUCAUGUAAAAUCCCAUGUUGUUUGUCAUACUCCUAGCCUGCAACAGUGACAUCCUGGGAGCCCAAAUCGUGUCAUAAAUUCACUGGCCAUUACGAGAAAAGGAUCUUGGAUUUUGUAGAUGAAAAAAAUGGAGUGCUUAAGAGGUCAAAUGGCUUGCCUUAGGUUGCACAAUUAGACAUGGAUAGUAGGCUUUCCAGGACAGGGGGUAGGAAGGAGGGAGGACCCACAGGAUACCAAGAGCAAAAACAAACAAACAAAAUCCCCUUUGAAUGACUUUAAGAGACUUGUUUAAUCUCUUUAUGCAUCUCCAUUUCUACUUCUCAAGGAAGUAUUCUCAACAACUCUUAAGAACCAUGAAUAAACGGGCUAUGUGAAACCAAAGCAGCACUGUGUCUAACAAUUUAGAAACUGCUAUUCUGUGGGCAGAAAAACAGAAAGAAAAUAUUUGCAGUGCCAUCUUGCUAAAGAGAAAAAAAGGGCACCUCUAUGUCUUCAGAUUUUGCUGUUGUUGUUGUUGUUUGUUUGUUUUCUUUUCUAAAUUCUCAGAACAAGAAUGUCUCAGAAGAACAUAAACUGGUUCUCAUAAAGAGCUGGGCAGCACUGCCUUCUGAGCCAUCCUGUGCAACCAGAGCCACAGGGCCAGCUCACAUGUGGGCAGUGGGUUGUCACAGGCUGUGUAAUUGCACCAAGAAGAAAACAUACACAUAACAAACAGAGUUCCCAAAGUGCUUCUGAGGGAGAAUGGGUGAGGAUCAGGGAGGGCUUUUUAUUUAUUGGUGCUGGAGAUUGAACCUAGGGUCUUGUACUUGCUACACACGUUCUACCAUACAGCUGUGCCCCCACCUCUGGGAAUAAUUCCUUAAAAGGAGAAUUCACAAGUCUGACCAUGUUUCUGAUUUCAUCGUAAACAGGUUUCACAAAAUUUCAAUCAGGACUCAACAGGAGUUUCCAGAGACUUCUCUGAAGGACACUAGCUCCAGUGAAGGUGGACACAUCUCUGAUUUUGGCAAGUGGAGAAAUGGGAGGGAGAGAAUGUUUAGAACUUUUAAAAAAUAGAAAUAAGGGCUGGGGAUGUAACAUAGUAGUACAGAGCAUGAUUGGCAAGCACAAAGACCAGGGUUUGAUCCCCAGUACCCACCCCCCAAAAAAGGAAAUAUGUUUGUUUUUGUUAAGAACACAUAAUUGCCAUAUCACACGCCAAGUUCC
Molecule: long non-coding RNA, 2378 nt
Filed under: Marmota monax (woodchuck)
Lineage: Eukaryota; Metazoa; Chordata; Mammalia; Rodentia; Sciuridae
Source: RNAcentral